UUUAGUUUUUUUAACAUAAGUCUCUAAUAAAUUAUUAAGACUAGCCGUCAAUUUUACUAACUAAGACUAUCCUUAAAAAUAUGUUUCCAAUUGAACCGGUCAUUAAACCGAGAUUAACCACAAAUCCGCGUUUACUGUACCGCGAUUGUGAUUUACCCAACUAAUCACUCACACCGUUAAGAAGACAACGUUGUUUUGUAAGUCUACAAUGGAGCUUCAAAAAAACACCACAGGGAGCCGAUACAGUCACACUCACACAGAGAAGCAGUCUAUGUGAUCAAUGAGAGUAGUUCUAGUUCUUUAUUGAUUUAGAUUGUCAUUGGAACAAUUUUCAACCUCUUUUGUCUAUUUUGGAUGAUAUAUUUUGGGAAGUUGAUUCUAUUUAGGAUGUUAUUGUUUAGGUUGACUGAUUGAUUUGGAGUCUUAUCUAUCCUUAUGAUUAGGAGUUUUAUCUAUUUCGAUUUGUCAUUUUCCUUACCAAUUAACACAACACAUAACAUAUAUAGAUAGAUUCACAUUAUAAAACAAAGACAAAACGACGUCGUUUUCUUAACGGGUGUGGGAUUAGUCGGGUAAAUCACAAUAGCGGUACAAUAAACGCAGAUUUGUGGUUAAUCUCGGUUUAAUGACCGAUUCAAUUGGAAACGUAUUUUUAAGGAUGAAUCUGAAAGUACAUGUUGCAAUUUUAAGAAUUAUCAAAGUUUAUGGUGGAAAUUUCAGGAGCAAAAAGUGUGGGGGGGGGGGGAAAGCUGAGAAUGCAAUAAUUAGUUUAUGGCUAUAAAAUCAUCCAACCCUUUUCUUAAUGGAUAUAGGUGAUGAAUCGGGUAAAUCGCAAUCGCGGUACAGUAAACGUGAAUUUGUGGUUAAUCUCGGUUUAAUGACCGGUUCAAUUGGAAAUGUAUUUUUAAGGAUGAAUCUGAAAGUACAUGUUGUAAUUUAAAGUAUUAUCAAAGUUUAUGGUGAAAAUUUCAGGAGCAAAAAGUAUAGGGGGAAAAGCUGAGAAUGCAAUUAGUUUAUGGUUAUAAAAUCAGCCAACCCAAUUUCGAAUCUUGUUGGUAUAGUUUAGUAGAGUUCUUUUACUUACUAAUA
RNAcentral lists this small RNA (1089 nucleotides) under Arabidopsis thaliana (thale cress). Its description in RNAcentral is "ATSL171660". The record is from RNAcentral. Lineage: Eukaryota; Viridiplantae; Streptophyta; Magnoliopsida; Brassicales; Brassicaceae.